This is a long non-coding RNA of Helianthus annuus (common sunflower), 4383 nucleotides long. RefSeq lists it as uncharacterized. The transcript has 2 exons. NCBI's taxonomy places the organism in Eukaryota, Viridiplantae, Streptophyta, Magnoliopsida, Asterales, Asteraceae. The record is from RefSeq and is a predicted model, not a curated record.
GUUGCUUAUAGUCAGUCUACUUAUAAGUUUUUAACAUAACUGUUUCACCCAUUAGGCUGUCUUUAGACACUAUAUUAAGCCUCCCAUCAUUCUUUCUUGUUAAUCGUUCGACGCCUACUUUAAUUACAUGCUUUUGAUCUUAUAAAUAGGAAGUAUAGCAUUGUAUAAUCAGUGAAUAAUUCUCUUUGUUGCUUGCGUAUUUGGGUUGAAAAAGCUUGAAUUUAAAGAAAUCUACUGAUAUGCUUGGUUUUAAAAUGCGUGUAGCGAUCCAAUGCGUUUUGAUCCCAAAAUCCGAUGCGCAAUGCGUUAUGCGAGGUGUUCUUUAUGUAAUAAUACUAAAAAAAUAUAUAGAGCUAAUAUUUUAACUUGUGAACCUUUAAACACUAAAAUAUAAUAUAUUUUCAUCAUCUAUAGUAAGAUUUGUUCAAUUAAAGAGCUAAUUUGUUCAAAUACCAGUCAACUGCAUAAGGCGCCACAUUAGACCACAUCAUGUGAUGCACGCAUUAUGCACUCCUGCCGGAUUUGAGAUCGGCAAAUCUUCAAGAUGAACACAAUACAGUAGUGUAAAAGUAAAGAAUUUGCUUUUAAUUUCUUCUUGCUUUAAUUCCAACCUGUGUUUAAAAAAGCGAGCUUUAAGCGCGCUUUAGGCGUGAAGCGCUGAAGCGUUUGGAAAAGCGCUUUUUUUGGUCUGAAGCGUUACAACACGUGAAGCGUUUUGAAACGAGCUUUAAGCGCGAAGCGAUGAUGGUUUGAAGCGACGCUUCAGCCUAAUCAGGUCACAUUUGGGCCAUUUUUUAGGCCCAAUAGUCUUUAAAUAGGGUUUAAAUGAGGCCCUACUUCUUUACCCUAAUAAUCAGCCGCCGUCUUUUAACAUAUCAGCCGCUGUCUUCCUCUUUCUCCUUCUAUUCUCUCUGCAACUUGAUUUCCGUUUAGAAAUCAUAAUGGCCUCAGGAUCAAACAGCACUACUGCUGCCUCGGAAAAAUCCUUCUCAUCUGGUGACCCGAGAUGAAUACGUACUUGAUUAUGAUGAUUAUUGAUUAAAGACUAUUUUUAUGUUUAUGUUUUAAGUGUGUUUCGACUUUAAUUUAUGUUUUAACUAUGCUUUUUAUGUGUUAAGUGUGUUUUUAAUCAUGUUUUUGUGUUUAUUAUUGAUUAACAAGUAGAAUAGGUCAUAUUGAUGUGUACAAUAUUUUAUUUUUAUUUUUUUUUAAUUUUGAGCGCUUCGUAUACGUGAAGCUCUCACUUCGCGCUUGGAGCUUCGCUUAAAGCUUUUGGAACCAAAACGCUUCGGAGCGCCUCACGCUUUUUUAAACCAAGAUUCCAACAGAAACAACCUUUUAUUGGCUUACCAAAUUGGACACGAAAGUUAACCACUAGACGCGCUACUAAUACCAAAAUGACUCCACUAAUAAGACUUUUACUUGAAAUAAUUACCCAGUAACUGGAGGAACAAAACACAUUAUAAAAAUAAAAUAAAGUAAAACAAUUGCAGCAGAUUGUCGACGUGCAUGGAUCAUGAGGAGUGGAGCUCUUGACUGGGUGGAACAUGGGUCACUGGUUUAUGGCAGAUAGUCCGUAUGAAUAUCUGUCCCUUUAAAACGGGUUGUGUCCUCACGACUCACAACUGGCAUAGUCAAAGUGUCCCAUGGCUGUUUUUUUGGUGUUUCAAACAACAAGAAUUUGGGUGUUUUGCAACGGUGUCCCCAACUGAAAUUUUUCGUCACAAUGGAAGCAUAUACCAAUGGCUUUCUUGGCUUGAGUGAGGCGUUUGAGGGGAAGGGAAGCCGAUUGUGAUGGAGACUGAGCAGGUGGUCGAACGGUGGUCCACAGUAGGAACACUUAUCUUGGCAUGAAGCUUGUCUUCAAUUCAUGAGCGUGUCGGGAUAAUCCCAUUACCCGAUUAGUGAUCCACUCGAAAUCAGUCUGAUAGGCGCUCAUGGAGGUGGUCUGUUGAGGUUCCCGACAAAUUGUUAUUGGACAAAUGCUUAUACCAACUGAGAGCGUCGUUGGUGAAAUAAAAGACGGCGAGAGAUAGCCAUUGAUCCUUAGGAAAUUGAUAACAGGUGAAAUAAUUCUCGGCUUGGAAUUGGGAGGGUUUGACUCGUUAAUUAAGGGAAUAAAUAUUUUUGGGGGGCAACGGGUGUUAGGCAGUGGUGAGUUGGAACCGGAACUUUGGAAGAAGCAGAGUGAAUUGAAGAGGCGCAGUAACCGAAAGAUAAAGUGCCUGUGAAUUGAGCGAUGUGGUUAACGAGGUGAUUGUUUGUUCACAUCGGCUUGCAGGGUUUCAGAGGAUUUGGCUAAAGCUUAAGUUGCUUUAAUCAAAGCAGCAAAGUGGGUAUUGGCAUGUGAGGAGGAUGACAUUGUGAUUACGGUUAACUAGUCUAGUUUCUCGUUUAAUGCUUGCAAUGGUAGUUGAGUCCUUACGGGUGACAUGAGUACAAGAAUGAAAGCACCAAUUGAUAUGUGCCGGAUUUGAGAUGGGCAAAUCACCAAAAUAAACAAGAUACAGGAACGUAAAAGUAAAGAGUUUGCUUCAAAUAUGUUCUUUCUUUAAUUCCAACAGAAACAACAUUUUACAGUUUUACCGAAUUGACCAUGAAAACUAAUCACUAGACCCAUAACUAAUACCUAAAUGACUCCACUAAUAAGACCCUUACUUGAAAUAACUGCCACUAAAAUAAAGUAAAACAAUUGCAGCAAAUUAUCACUAUUUUUUUCUUUCUAAAACAAGUUAGUUUUGAGAUAAGAUAAAAAAGAGUUGAAGUGAACUGACAUUGCAAAGGCGUUUAUCGCGUUCUUAAAUAUGUAAAUGGCACUCUACAUCAUGGCAUUCUAUAUCAAAACCAUGGCAAACAAACCGAUACCAUGAAAGAACCAAGCACAUUGAAGUUGAUUACUACUCACUUCACUUAAAAAAGAUCGAAGAUGGUACGAUUACAACAACUCAUGUCAAAACUGGAAACUAGUUAGCCGAUGUAUUUAGUAAAGUUUCACCUAGAAGUCAAAUUUACCAUAUAUAUGUACCAAGGUAGACAUGAUUAAUAUCUAUGCUUGAGCUCGAGAUGGAGCGCUAGCUUAUACGUCACUUAUUUGUUCAUGUUAUAGCUAAUGAGCUAGGUGUAGACUAGAGGUCGUAUCCAGAAGCGGAGUUUGCCGUAUUUGUAACAAGCUACACGCCUAGAUUAUAUGUCACUAACUCACUGUUACUUUUUGCUAUAGUCUAGUAUGUGGCUUGUGGGCCUUAGGUUUAGCUUAGUGGUGUUCCCUCUUCUGUAUAUACAGUUAUACAUAACCUUGUAUAUUGUAAAUAUAUGUGAAAUACACGAUGAUUCAGGAAUGUAUUUGAUUCGUCUUACACAGGUAUAUGUAUUAUUAUCACUUGUAUAGAUUUAAUAAACUAUAUGAUGUGUUUGGUAUUAUGGAUUCUUUUAUUUGUUUUAACAUUAUUUUAAGCGUCGUUAUUUCAAUUUGUGAAGAUGACAAACCAGCAGUUUUAACAAUGUGUUAAAAAUUUUCAACUCAUAUACUAAAAAAAUAAAAAUAAAAUAAACUUUACUAGUUUGCAGAGACAAACUAGCAGACAAACCAUGGACAAAGAAAACAAACCCUUCGGUCGCAAACUCUUGGAACACUAGAAAAGGAAAUAAUGCUCUAUAUAAACUAUUUAUAACGAUGAGAUAUAAUUUGUAUAUGAAGAUCAUAGAUGUGCUGUUUUUACUAGUUUAACAUUAUUUCUAGUUUUGUUUAAAGGAUCUCCCAAACUGGCGAAACGAAUUGCUUCAGUUCGGGCCAGAUUGUGAACAACCCUAGUGAUUAUCUGGUUAUUGCUUCUUCAAGUUGUGGAUAAUCAUUAUAGUGUUUGAGCAUAGUGAAACUUUUUGAGAUAUUUCAUAUUUGAUGAUUUAGGUGUCGAUAUUCAGUUUAGAAGUGAAUGCCCCGCUUGCGAUGUGCACAUAUAAUGUAUAUAUGUGUGGGCGCCUGGGGGCAAAAGUGAAAUGGUACUAACUUUAAGUCUUUAACGUUAUUUUACUAAUUUCGUGAAAAUAACGUUAAAAGCGGCGGAUGGUUAAUUAUGCAUCAUGUGGUGAUGUUGACAGCUGAAAGACACGGGGGUACAUGCACCAACCAGUCUCUGUCCCGAUUGUUUGAGUGUUAUGUGUCUUAGGUCCAAGGCUUGAUACAAAACUACAAUCGAGCCGGGGGUCUCACCGGAAGCAGCCUCUCUAUUCCUACGGGAUAGAGGUAAGGCUGUCUACAUCUACCCUCGGAACCUACCUUAGCUUUGCUAUUGGAGGGAUUUACUGGUGAUGAUGAUGAUGUGGAUGCAACAAAACUAAUUCCGACUAUCUGAUUAAAUAAUCAGAUUUUGCCAAACACUUAAA